Molecule: ribosomal RNA, 460 nt
Filed under: uncultured bacterium
Lineage: Bacteria
Description: partial 16S ribosomal RNA
Rfam family: Bacterial small subunit ribosomal RNA
Source: RNAcentral
CCUACGGGAGGCAGCAGUGAGGAAUAUUGGUCAAUGGACGAGAGUCUGAACCAGCCAAGUAGCGUGAAGGACGACUGCCCUACGGGUUGUAAACCUCUUUUAUCUGGGAAUAAACUGUUCCACGCGUGGGAUCUUGUAUGUACCCUAUGAAUAAGCAUCGGCUAACUCCGUGCCAGCAGCCGCGGUAAUACGGAGGAUGCGAGCGUUAUCCGGAUUUAUUGGGUUUAAAGGGAGCGUAGGUGGGUUGUUAAGUCAGUUGUGAAAGUAUGCGGCUCAACCGUCAAAUUGCAGUUGAAACUGGCAGUCUUGAGUACAGUAGAGGUGGGCGGAAUGCGUGGUGUAGCGGUGAAAUGCUUAGAUAUCACGAAGAACUCCGAUUGUGAAGGCAGUGCACUGGACUGCAACUGACACUGAGGCACGAAAGUGUGGGUAUCAAACAGGAUUAGAUACCCUUGUAGUC